This is an RNA transcript of Xenia sp. Carnegie-2017, 1162 nucleotides long. RefSeq lists it as uncharacterized. The record is from RefSeq and is a predicted model, not a curated record. The transcript has 5 exons. Lineage: Eukaryota; Metazoa; Cnidaria; Anthozoa; Malacalcyonacea; Xeniidae.
CCACUAACUGAGCCACACUGUGUAACAAGAAAUGCAAAGUUGGUAACUAUGAAAGGGAUUAUUGAAGGUUUGUCAUUAAUAUGAAACAGCGUGUAUAUAUCAUCGAUUUAAAUCUCGAACUUUAGAUAAGACAUUGAGUUGAAGAUAAACCCAAAAUGUACAGUUACACAUUUUAUGGAUUGUUUUGUAUAGUUACCAGAGUGCUCAAACCUAUAACGGUGAGCUUUGCAUAGGGCGAAAGCGUUGAACGUGUCAUAUGGACUCUCUACGUAGUCUGUGGAAAAUGCUCAAACUAUGCAUGAGCAGAAAGCGUAUUAUACAAUGUAUACAUAUAUGUGUGUGUAUCUUUUUCUUUGUUCUUCCAGGAAUUUCGCUGUUUGCAAAGUUUUGUGUCGAGUGCAAGAUACCGUACAGAUACCAGGAGUAUUCAGCUGGUGUUCACAAUUUUAAUGACAACUGGCUUUUAAGUUUGGGAAUAUGUGAUAUGAUCAGAAAACAUCUUCAGGUUCACAACGCUGUCAGUCGCACUGUUGAGGCAAUUGAAAACUGGCUGCAGUUGCGACCAUUUCAGUUACCACGUGGUCAAAUGAUGAACGCGUAUCUUCACUUUGAAGCUCUCUCAGAUCAUGACUAUGGGUUUUCUUGUGUUUUGUGUGGACACUUUCCUCCCCUGUUAACUCUAGAUGUAGACAAGAAAGGAAUCUUUGAACUAGCGGUUAGUGAACUUCAGUUGCCAGACCCCGAAUCCGAUGCUCCUGCAGAUGAAGUGGACGCUGAAAAGUACUGGCAACAAGUGAACUGUGGGAUCUUAUACAGAGGAGUAUUGAGAGGUAAUGAAAAAACCCUUUAGAAAUCAAGCCUUCAUAUAAGUUUUGGGCCCCAUAUAUUGGCCCAAAAUGCAGAAGAGGAAGGAAACUUUUUAAUACCGAAUACAUGAAAGCGUAUCAUAAACAAAACCUAACAUCAGCUGGGGCUACAUCUGAUGAAUGUUCAAUUGAAAAGCUCAUGGAUUUGUUCUGUGAAGGAAAAGUACCUGUUAUAAGAGAAAUGGCCAGAAGUUUAAAUGUGAGCGACAAGGGGUCGAAACUUGAUAUAAUUAACCGUAUAAAAUCUGUUUUGAAUAUCGAAGAAACGUUUCUUAAACUUUUCUCAAAGAUGUGGG